Molecule: ribosomal RNA, 900 nt
Filed under: Parastagonospora nodorum
Lineage: Eukaryota; Fungi; Ascomycota; Dothideomycetes; Pleosporales; Phaeosphaeriaceae
Description: SSU rRNA
Rfam family: Eukaryotic small subunit ribosomal RNA
Source: RNAcentral
GUCUAGUAUAAGCAAUUAUACCGUGAAACUGCGAAUGGCUCAUUAAAUCAGUUAUCGUUUAUUUGAUAGUACCUUACUACUUGGAUAACCGUGGUAAUUCUAGAGCUAAUACAUGCUGAAAACCCCAACUUCGGGAGGGGUGUAUUUAUUAGAUAAAAAACCAACGCCCUUCGGGGCUUCUUGGUGAUUCAUGAUAACUUUACGGAUCGCAUGGCCUUGCGCCGGCGACGGUUCAUUCAAAUUUCUGCCCUAUCAACUUUCGAUGGUAAGGUAUUGGCUUACCAUGGUUUCAACGGGUAACGGGGAAUUAGGGUUCGAUUCCGGAGAGGGAGCCUGAGAAACGGCUACCACAUCCAAGGAAGGCAGCAGGCGCGCAAAUUACCCAAUCCCGACACGGGGAGGUAGUGACAAUAAAUACUGAUACAGGGCUCUUUUGGGUCUUGUAAUUGGAAUGAGUACAAUUUAAACCUCUUAACGAGGAACAAUUGGAGGGCAAGUCUGGUGCCAGCAGCCGCGGUAAUUCCAGCUCCAAUAGCGUAUAUUAAAGUUGUUGCAGUUAAAAAGCUCGUAGUUGAACCUUGGGUCUGGCUGGCAGGUCCGCCUCACCGCGUGUACUUGUCCGGCCGGGCCUUCCUUCUGGAGAACCUCAUGCCCUUCACUGGGCGUGUUGGGGACCAGGACUUUUACUUUGAAAAAAUUAGAGUGUUCAAAGCAGGCCUUUGCUCGAAUACGUUAGCAUGGAAUAAUAGAAUAGGACGUGCGGUCCUAUUUUGUUGGUUUCUAGGACCGCCGUAAUGAUUAAUAGGGACAGUCGGGGGCAUCAGUAUUCAAUUGUCAGAGGUGAAAUUCUUGGAUUUAUUGAAGACUAACUACUGCGAAAGCAUUUGCCAAGGAUGUUUU